GCCCCUGCUCACGCCGAGGACUCGCCGAAGAUGUGUUUGGGGAUGAUUGCAAACUAAAAGUAUUGUUUCGCUUAUCACCUCCCCAGCAGAACCUUUAUGAAAGGUGAAUAAGAGGAUUUCGCUCUUUCCUGCCUUGAACCGAGGGACAAUUCUCAAAUAUCCACUUCCACAGCGUGGAAAAGAGGGAAAAGUUUAAAUGCUGCAGUCAGCCAGGCUUUCUGUGGCUUCGUUAAAAAAUACUAACGUUAAAAUUGACGGUGGGAACAGGCGUGGAAUUAAAGAAGGAAAGAGAAAAAGAAAGAAAGAGAAAAAGAAAGCUAACAAAGAUAGUAACGGAAUAAAACUUUAAAACCAUCCUUAGUGAAAUAAUUUAAGUAAAUACGUUUAUUUUAUUUUGUGUAGGGAUAAUUUCAGCCUAGUCUAAAAGCCUUUUCAAGUAAUUAUUGUUGUUGGAAUACUUGCAGUGGUAUAAUUAAGGCAUUUCCCCCUCUAAAAGACAAGUUAACAUUUUAUUUUUCCCAACACUUUUAUUGUCGAUUGAGCAGAUUUUGGUUUCAUCUUUGAACAUAAAAGCCUAGAAAUGGUGCACAGAAGUAAAUAGAGCUAAACAGCAUGGUGUUAAGAUACCCGAUACUAGGAUUUUCAACAAAGCAAAAACCUGAAUCGGCUGAAGUGUUUUCAGAAAAGAACUUAGGUUCUUCUAUGUGUAUUUACAUACGUACUUACAUCUAUUGAAGUAUUUAAAAUAAAAAAGAGCAGCAGUUCCCCUUCCUACGUGGACGCCGAGGAGGCGUGAGUUAAGUUGUUCUUGGAAGUUAACGUUUUUAUCAAGUGCAGUAGAAUUUUAUGGUCUUGAUGUGAUGGUAACUCACCAAAGCACCAGAAAUCAAUGGCUGAUCUUAAAUCAUUCAUAUACUGUACUCAGAUUCCUGAUGAAAGGAAAAUGUUUCUAUUAUAAGAAAAAACAAGUGCGUGUGUGUGUGCGUGUGUGUGUGUCUGUGAGAGAGAAGAUAAUUUAUAAAUACCCAGUGGGGAAAAGAUUUAUUAGGAAUUCACAAGGAAAAAAAAGAACCCCAAAGCCCUUACUAGGUAAACCUUAACUUUUCACUGCUCUGCGUUUUACCAAACACAGAAAGGCAGGAUUUCUUUUAUUUUUUAAUCUAAUUCUGUGUGUAUUCGUAUUUAAUUUAAUAGCAUUUAAAUAGAGUCUUGAGAUGUUUAAACUUUGCCUCCUCAAACAACAUUUUAAAUAAUAUUGACAACGAUUCCUUUUUCUGUUAUGUGUAUCGGGUUAGUUUGUUACAUUCUCCCGAAGAACACUGCUUAUCGGGAAGUGGACGUAUUUUCUUGUGUAACUUAGGAGAAGCAUUUAUCCAGAAAAUGUUUGGCCGUAGCAAUAUGAAAUAAAACCUAUGUUGAAAUUA
Dromaius novaehollandiae (emu) is the source of this 1424-nucleotide long non-coding RNA. RefSeq lists it as uncharacterized. Lineage: Eukaryota; Metazoa; Chordata; Aves; Casuariiformes; Dromaiidae. The transcript has 2 exons. The record is from RefSeq and is a predicted model, not a curated record.